This 1033-nucleotide long non-coding RNA is filed under the name Taeniopygia guttata (zebra finch). RNAcentral's name for it is "lncRNA (ENSTGUG00000021657.1)". Lineage: Eukaryota; Metazoa; Chordata; Aves; Passeriformes; Estrildidae. The record is from RNAcentral.
CAGGGGAUGCAUAAGAAGGUGGCAGCCCCAGGAACAGUAUCAUCCUGAUUCCUGCAUGCCAGCUCCAUCCUGCCUGCUGGGCUGUCAGUGCCAUUGGGCCAGUGCUCCCUGCUCCAACACAAGUUUCUUGGAAAUUCUUGGAAAUGUGCUUCCCAAACACUGAUAUCUACAGCCGACAGAGGGGUGAUGCUGAAGGAGCAGCCUUGGCACAUCCUUGCUGGUGAGCAGAGGAAGGGCUGGGAUUGCAAGGACAAAGUCUACAAGUACAAAAUGCAGCUGCACUUGCUGUCAACUGGUAGGAAAUUAAAGCAGUUGCUCUUGUGAGAAAUCAGCCUUGCACCAACAGAAACCAAGCUGUUAGACCAAAUGCAAUCCUGGAUAAAUUUAUCUUGAGAAGCAAGCCGGCAGAGGAAGAUAAAGUCAUCUUAGCAGAGGCUGAGAACACUGUCCAUAGGACGAAAAGCUGCUGUUCCCUUUAUGGCUUGCAGAUUAAAGUUUUCCCUUAAAAAAUCAUUUCCCCCCACUCAAACAUUACCACUAAAAUUUCCCUUGAGUCCCAAGUGCUGAGCAAUAUGUUGUAAUGUACGAACAGAGCUCUCAAUGGAGCCUGCAUUAAAGAAAUAAUAUUGAAGCUUCCUGUUGGACUGAGAGAGGUGCCUAGAAUGAGAGGAAUAUUACAGAUUAUUCUUACUUUACAUAAAUAUGCUUCAUCACCUCUACAGCUAAAACACAAGGCUCUGCAUUUUGAAGAGGAAUGUUUUGGCUAAAACUACAUGGGCUUGGAACAAGUGCAAUCCAGAGGCUCCUGGCUCAGCAGGAAGGGAGGUAAGUCCCUGAGGGCUCUGUGUGCCAAGUCCUCCUGAGAAGCUUUGCCCCAGGGCUUGCCUGCAGUCAGCAAAUCUUCUCCUGCCAGCACAACUACAAAUCCCAGAUGAGCCCAUGAGGAUUGUUGUUCUAAUUAACUAAUGAAGUUGUCUCCUGUUGGGAAGAUGGAUAAUCUGAGCUGGAGGCUUACUCCCUGUUGUGGGGGAAG